CACCAGACUCCUACGGGAGGCAGCAGUGGGGGAUAUUGCACAAUGGGGGGAACCCUGAUGCAGCGACGCCGCGUGGGUGAAGGAGUAUUUCGGUAUGUAAAGCCCUAUCGGCAGGGAAGAAGAAAGACGGUACCUGACUAAGAAGCCCCGGCUAACUACGUGCCAGCAGCCGCGGUAAUACGUAGGUGGCAAGCGUUGUCCGGAUUUACUGGGUGUAAAGGGCGUGUAGCCGGGCCGGCAAGUCAGAUGUGAAAUCCAUGGGCUUAACCCGUGAACUGCUUUUGAAACUGCAGGACUUGAGUGGAGUAGAGGUAGGCGGAAUUCCCGGUGUAGCGGUGAAAUGCGUAGAGAUCGGGAGGAACACCAGUGGCGAAGGCGGCCUACUGGGCUUUAACUGACGCUGAGGCACGAAAGCGUGGGUAGCAAACAGGAUUAGAUACCCUAGUA
This 447-nucleotide ribosomal RNA is filed under the name uncultured bacterium. RNAcentral's name for it is "partial 16S ribosomal RNA". It matches the Rfam family "Bacterial small subunit ribosomal RNA", at positions 329 to 792 of the family's 1533-position model. The record is from RNAcentral.